GUUUGAUCCUGGCUCAGAAUGAACGCUAGUAAUAGGCUUAAGACAUGCAAGUUGUGCGUAAAAAGCAGCGAACGGGUGAGUAAAGCGUAAGAAUUUACCUGAUAGUUUGGUGGCUAGAUUGAAAUCAAAUCCCAAAUAACCUUUUUUUUUAUAAAGACAAUUUUAAUUUUUCUUUGAAAAAUAAACAAUAUUUGAAUCGGAAAACCGAAAAAUAUUUUUCUUUUUUUUCUAAGGAUUAAUGUCGCUAUCAGAGAAGCUUACGUAAGAUUAGGUAGUUGGUGAGGUAAAAGCUACACCAAGCCGAAGAUCUUUAGCUGGUUUGAAAGAAUGUCCAGCCACACUGGGACUGAGACACG
This 356-nucleotide ribosomal RNA is filed under the name Tetraselmis sp. GSL018. RNAcentral's name for it is "partial Bacterial small subunit ribosomal RNA". It matches the Rfam family "Bacterial small subunit ribosomal RNA", at positions 11 to 328 of the family's 1533-position model. Lineage: Eukaryota; Viridiplantae; Chlorophyta; Chlorodendrophyceae; Chlorodendrales; Chlorodendraceae. The record is from RNAcentral.